Molecule: long non-coding RNA, 281 nt
Organism: Exaiptasia diaphana
Lineage: Eukaryota; Metazoa; Cnidaria; Anthozoa; Actiniaria; Aiptasiidae
Exons: 3
Source: RefSeq, a predicted model, not a curated record
UUCACUUGACAAGGAUUCUUGAUGCCAAACCUUCCCAACUGUUAGACGAAUGUCAAGCUAAGCAUAUGGCUCUCAUUCAAACAGCUUUCUUCCUGGCUAUAAUCAAGGUUUCAUUAUGGCCGUCUUUUGGAGAAAAAUUUCCCGAGCCCGUGUUGUUUCUACCUCUCAAUAAACAAUACGGUACACGAGACAUCAGUAAGAGUAAUCUGACUACGACGGCUGUUGGUGUUACCUUAUCUCCUGGACCAGAUGGUGAACCAGACGGGUCGUACUACUUUCCA